Molecule: ribosomal RNA, 253 nt
Filed under: uncultured bacterium
Lineage: Bacteria
Description: partial 16S ribosomal RNA
Rfam family: Bacterial small subunit ribosomal RNA
Source: RNAcentral
UACAGAGGGGGCAAGCGUUGUUCGGAAUUACUGGGCGUAAAGGGCGCGUAGGCGGCCUUCUAAGUCGAACGUGAAAUCCCUGGGCUCAACCCAGGAACUGCGUCCGAUACUGGAAGGCUUGAAUCCGGGAGAGGGAUGCGGAAUUCCAGGUGUAGCGGUGAAAUGCGUAGAUAUCUGGAGGAACACCGGUGGCGAAGGCGGCAUCCUGGACCGGCAUUGACGCUGAGGCGCGAAAGCUAGGGGGGCAAACGGG